Molecule: long non-coding RNA, 391 nt
Organism: Juglans microcarpa x Juglans regia
Lineage: Eukaryota; Viridiplantae; Streptophyta; Magnoliopsida; Fagales; Juglandaceae
Exons: 2
Source: RefSeq, a predicted model, not a curated record
ACCUGAGAACAAAGAGUAGCGUUUCUUUUCUAUUAGCAUACCUACAAAGCUCAUAAAUCUCAUACAUUGCAUAAUUUCCAAAAUGAAUUUUUUUUUUUUCACUAAAAUUCCAACACUUCUUCCACGCAUCUAUCUCUUAUACUAACUUGAAAGUGAAAAGCGAUUUUACUUGCACAUCCUUUUUUCAGAUAGCAGUCGGAAGUUGCAACAGCAUGCAUCAGUCUUUUGAACCAUCUGCAACCAUUGAACAAAUAAAGAUUCAUCAGCCUUAUAUGGAUGUAAAAGAAUCCUGAACAAUCAUAUUCCUUACCACAAUUUAGUUCGUUCCUAAGGAUAUUACAUUGGUAGAACUCCUUCCCCUUCUUCAUCUUUACCCAUGUCAUGCAAUCGA